UUAUGCAUUUAAAGUUAAUCGGCGAUUUUGGUGGCCGAUUAAUAUAAACGUUUGCUAUAUAAUUGUCCAGUUGGCUAUACAUUAAUGGCACGUCAAAAACAAUAAUGACUUGUAUUGAUAGUUUCGUAUGUUAGUUUUCGUGGAUUAGCAACGAAAAGGUGCAUGUGUACGUUUGUGAUGAGGAGAAUAUUCUGACGGGUAAAAUAGUCUAGCUAAAGUGUGAGCCACAAAAUAUCAGACUGCGUCGAAACAGGGCCCCAGGGUAAUUUACAGUGGGGACAAUCAGCAGAAGUCUUGGAUGUCAAACUGAGCAAUGACAAAACACUCAUGCAGGUGCUGAGUGCUGUUUCUGAGUGACAGCCGUGCGUGUGGAACUGGGAGGGGCCACAGACUGAGCCACCGGAGACGCUGUCACGGUUUCCACGGGAGACCACAGAGCGUGGGAACCGUGCAGGGGGACGCUUCCCGGGAUACAGAAGGCAGCCGAACGGUGGCGGGCGGAUCCUUCCGGAACACGCGGCUCCCAGCGCCAUACCGCCGCACCACACCCCCGGGGACUUCCUGUGUGAGCCCCUACCCUGAGACCCUAAGCCCCGCCCCCACGCCCCCCACGCC
This is a long non-coding RNA of Anguilla anguilla (European eel), 615 nucleotides long. RefSeq lists it as uncharacterized. The transcript has 3 exons. Lineage: Eukaryota; Metazoa; Chordata; Actinopteri; Anguilliformes; Anguillidae. The record is from RefSeq and is a predicted model, not a curated record.